AGAGUUCAGUUUACAGGGUUAGGAUAUGAGUGAUUAUGGACAAUGUUAAAUUAAUUGAGUGUGAUUACAGUUUGCAGGCCUAAUCGUAGUCAGCUCUAGUUUAUGUUAUUAAUGUCAGUAUCAGUGAGGCUGAUGUUCAUGUCUGCAGUAACAGUCCAGAGGAAUCCAAGAGAAGAAGGAGCUCAGGGCCUGAGGUGGACAAUCAUAGACAGUAGUCAACUCUAGUUCUAUGUUAUUUAUGUCAGUGAGGCUGAUGUUCAUGUCUGCAGUAACAGUCCAGAGGAAUCCAAGAGAAGAAGGAGCUCAGGGCCUGAGGCGGACAAUCGUAGACGAUGCGGCUAAAGUCAGGCAGGUCUGCAGCAGCCAUCAGUUCGGAGCAACCAAGGGGCAGGGGGUGUCUGCAGCAACGGUCCAGAGGAGCCAAAGAGAUGGAGGAGCUCAGGGCCCAGGGUGGACAAUCAGGGAUAAUGCAGCUGGGGUCAGGGAGUUCCGCAGCAGACCGUCUGCAGCAUUAGUCCAGUGGCAGCUAAGAGACUCAGAGACACUCAGAGAGAGAGAAAUCUGGUUAGUGACUUAUAUGGGACAUAAAGAUCUAAAGAAGAGAUAGAGACAGACUCUAGCUCAGUAUGCCAGAUAGCCCCGGCAGUCUAGACCUAUAGCAGCAUAACUAAGAGCUGGUUCAAAUCAGCCCCGACUAUAAGCUUUAUCAAAGAGGAACGUUUUAAGUCUACUCUUGAAAGUUGAGAGGAUGUCUGCCCCCCGAACCUCGAGCGGUAAAUGAUUCCAGAGGAGAGGUGCCUGGUAGCUGAAAGCUCUUCCUCCAAUACUACUUUUAGAGACAUUUGGUACAACGAGCAGGCCUGCAGACUGUGAGCGUAACGGUCUAGACGGAAAGUACGGUAUAACAAGCUCGUCGAGAUAUGAUGGAGCCUGGCCGUUUAGCGCUUUAUAUGUCACAAGGAGGAUUUUAAACUCAAUUCUAGAUUUAAUAGGGAGCCAGGGAAGAGAGGCUAAGACAGGAGAGAUGUGCUCCCUUCUUCUGGUUCUAGUCAGUACCUGAGCUGCUGCAUUUUGGACCAGCUGAAGAGUCCUUAAUGACUUACUGGAGCAGCCUGAUAAGAGAGAAUUACAGUAGUCCAGCCUAGAGGUAACAAAGGCAUGGACCAGUUUUUCUGCAUCACUCUGAGACAGUAUGCAUCUAAUUUUUGAGAUAUUGCGCAGGUGGAAAAAGGCUGUCCUGGAAAUUUGUUGAAUGUGGGAGCUAAAAGACAAAUCCUGAUCAAAUAAAACUCCCAGAUUUCGCACAGUGGGGCUGGAUGCCAGGCUGAUGCCAUCAAAUGUAGCUAAAUUACUAGAGAAUGCCUCUCUAAGGUGUUUAGGACCGAGGACAAGAACUUCAGUUUUGUCUGAGUUGAGCAUCAGAAAGUUGUUGGUCAUCCAGGAUUUUAUAUCCUUGAGACAGGCUUCCAACCUGGCAACCUGGCCUGCUUCCUCCGGCUUCAUGGAUAAGUAUAGCUGGGUGUCAUCUGCAUAACAGUGGAAAUUAAUCGAGUACUUCCUCAUAAUUUUACCCAGCGGAAGCAUGUACAGGGUAAAGAGGAUCGGUCCAAGCACUGACCCUUGCGGCACUCCAUAGCAGACCUUGGUGUGUGCAGAGGAUUCAUUAUUAACAUGGACAAACUGGGAUCAAUCCGUUAGAUACGAUUUAAACCAGGAGAGAGCUGAUCCUGCUAUGCCGAUAGAUUGUUCCAGUCUCUGAAGCAGGAUGCAGAGGUCGAUCGUGUCAAAUGCAGCACUAAGAUCCAACAGGACGAGAACAGAGAGAAGACCACUGUCCGAGGCCAUGAGUAGGUCACUUGUCACCUUCAGCAGAGCAGUCUCUGUGCUGUGAUGGGUUCUAAAUCCAGACUGGAAAUCCUCCAAUAAACCGUUGUUAUGAAGAAAAUCACAAAGUUGAUUCGCAACAACUUUCUCCAAGACUUUAGAAAUAAAAGGAAGGUUGGAUAUUGGUCUAUAGUUGGCUAGGGUGCUUGAGUCAAGAGUAGGUUUUUUAAGGAGAGGCUUAAUUAAUGCAGUCUUGAAAGACUGGGGAACAUAUCCUGUUGAUAAAGACGUGUUAAUCAACUUAAGCAGGGACGUACUGAUCAAAGGAAGAGUUUCCUUCAGCAAUUUAGAUGGAAUUGGGUCCAAAAGACACGUAGAUGGUUUAGCUGCCAGCACCACUGACUUUAACUCAGGAAGGUCAAUAGGUGCAAAGUUACUAAGGUGCACCAGAGGCCUUAGGGGCUCCUCAACAUUUUUAGGGUUAUCUAAGAGAGAGACACCUGAUGAAGGCAAAAGGUUACUAAUUUUACCUCUUAUUUUUAGGAUUUUAUCAUUGAAGAAGCUCAAGAAGUCAUCGCUGCUGAGGGCUAAUGGGAUACAUGGUUCAGCGGUGCUCUGACAGUCCAUCAGCCUGGCUACAGUGCUGAAGAGAUAUCUGGGGUUAUUCUUAUUUUCCUCAAUAAGAGACGAGUAGUAAGUUGUCCGAGCACGUCGUAGGGCCUUCUUAUAUUUAUCAAGACAUUCCUGCCAGAGAAAACAAGCUUCAGCUGUUUUGGAAGACAGCCAAAUCCUUUCACAUCUUCUUAAUAACUGUUUCAGCUCACGGGUUUCAGCAUUAUACCACGGGGCUAGCCUCUCGCGUGUAAGAGUUUUCUGUCGAAGAGGAGCAACUGAGUCUAGAAUUGAUCGCAAUGUGCCUUGGUCACGGCACAUUGCAAUAUUAAAAGGUUUCAUUUACAGUGACAUUUAAAUCAGUGUCCUGUUUGUGUUUUGCAACUAGAUGCAGCUAGAUUGUAAAAAAAAUAAAAAGUCACAAGUUUUGAAGAUAAGCGACGUGGAUUGGGAGGCAGUGAAGGUGUUGCAGGAUGCACCAUGCAAAACCUUCACUGGCUUCAAGAUCCUCCUAAUCAAUUACAAAGCGCUCAUAAAAUCUUGUAAUUUAUAUCCUCCCCCUCCUCUUCUUCUUCUAAUGAUUAUCAAUACCAUUAACUCUAACAACUGUAGAGCCUCAACAAUGCAGAUUUAGUAUUAAAUAUUAAUAAUGUGUGUGUGUGUGUGUGAGUGUGUGUGUGUGUGUGUGUGUGUGUGUGUGUUAAACUCAAACGACAUGUGUGCCCAUGAUCAUUCCCGACCAAGGACAUUUACUUUCCCCCUAACCCUGCUGGAACAGCACACCCUAGGUGUUCCAGAACCUCUCCAAGGACAAAGUAAGCACUGGACAGACAUAUCCCCUCACACACACAUACCCAUCCAUAAUGGCUGACCAAAGGCAGAACAGUCCUCAUUCAGAAAGAUCCCCAGAAGGGAACAGUCCCAUCCAACUAUCAGCCAAACACCUGCCUCUCCACAACAUGGAAACUCCUGUCAAGCAUCAUUGCGGUGAAGAUAAGUGGGCACAGGGAUCAAUACAUGACAGAGGCACAGAAAGGCAUUGGUAAGAACCCCAAAGGAGUAAAACACCAGCUACUCGUAGACAGAACAGUGACUCGAGACUGCAGAACCAGACAGACCAAUCUGUGCACUGCCUGGAUUGACUACAAGAAAGCCUAUGACUCAGUGCCACACACCUGGAUCCUGGAAUGCCUGAAGCUGUACAAGAUCAACAAGACUCCAAGAGCCUUCGUUGCAAACUCAAUGAGACAAUGAAACACCACCCUUUAGGCCAAGUUUGAGCCAAUAGCACAAGUCUCCACCAAAUGUGGCAUAUAUCAAGGAGAUGCUCUGUUCCCACUGCUGUUCUGCAUAGGCUUGAAUCCCUUCAGCCAAAUAAUCAGCAAGACUGGCUAUGGAUACCAACUCUGAAAUGGAAUCACCAACAGCCACCUC
Xyrichtys novacula (pearly razorfish) is the source of this 3870-nucleotide non-coding RNA. Lineage: Eukaryota; Metazoa; Chordata; Actinopteri; Labriformes; Labridae. The record is from the annotation of a GenBank genome assembly.